CGGGUAAUGUUCGGGUAGUGUUCAUGUAGAGUCCAGGUAGACUCCGGGUAGAGUUUGGUAAUGUUCAGGUAGAGUUCGGGUAAUGUUCGGGUAGUGUUCAGGUAGAGUCCAGUAGACUCCGGGUAGACUCCGGGGUAGAGUUCGGGUAAUGUUCAGGUAGAGUCCAGGUAGUGUUCAGGUAGACUCCAGGUAGAGUUCGGGUAAUGUUCGGGUAGUGUUCAGGUAGAGUCCAGGUAGUGUUCAGGUAGCGUCCAGGUAGAGUCCAGGUAGUGUUCAGGUAGAGUCCAGGUAGUGUUCAGGUAGACUCCAGGUAGAGUUCGGGUAAUGUUUCGGGUAGUGUUCAGGUAGAGUUCGGGUAAUGUUCGGGUAGUGUUCAGGUAGAGUCCAGGUUAGAGUCCAGGUAGUGUUCAGGUAAGUCCAGGUAGAGUUCCAGGUAGAGUUCCAGGUAGUGUUCAGGUAGACUCCAGGAUAGAGUUCGGGUAAUGUUCGGGUAGUGUUCAGGUAGAGUUUCGGGUAAUGUUCGGGUAGUGUUCAGGUAGACUCCAGGUAGAGUUCGGGUAGAGUCCAGGUAGAGUUCCGGGUAGAGUCCAGUGACUGAGAAGUCUCAUUCUCCAGCAGGAGAACUCAUAGAAACAUAAUCACACUUUAAUUAUCGGUAAUAAUGUUGUCCAUGUCACU
Molecule: long non-coding RNA, 678 nt
Organism: Sebastes umbrosus (honeycomb rockfish)
Lineage: Eukaryota; Metazoa; Chordata; Actinopteri; Perciformes; Sebastidae
Exons: 4
Source: RefSeq, a predicted model, not a curated record